GCGCCCGUAGCUCAACGGACAGAGCAACCGGUUUCUACCCGGUCGGUUGGGGGUUCGAGUCCCUCCGGGCGCA
RNAcentral lists this transfer RNA (73 nucleotides) under Actinomycetes bacterium. RNAcentral describes it as "tRNA-Arg". It matches the Rfam family "tRNA". Rfam says of the family: Transfer RNA (tRNA) molecules are approximately 80 nucleotides in length. Their secondary structure includes four short double-helical elements and three loops (D, anti-codon, and T loops). Further hydrogen bonds mediate the characteristic L-shaped molecular structure. tRNAs have two regions of fundamental functional importance: the anti-codon, which is responsible for specific mRNA codon recognition, and the 3' end, to which the tRNAs corresponding amino acid is attached (by aminoacyl-tRNA synthetases). tRNAs cope with the degeneracy of the genetic code in two manners: having more than one tRNA (with a specific anti-codon) for a particular amino acid; and 'wobble' base-pairing, i.e. permitting non-standard base-pairing at the 3rd anti-codon position. The record is from RNAcentral. RNAcentral also lists the same sequence under 1 other name. Lineage: Bacteria; Bacillati; Actinomycetota; Actinomycetes.